GUACACACCGCCCGUCGCUGCUACCGAUUGGAUGAUCCGGUGAAAUCCUCGGAUUGAUGUAAUUAUCUAGCAGCAAUGUUAGAUAUUAUAUUGAGAAGUUGAUUAAACCUUAUCAUCUAGAGGAAGCAAAAGUCGUAACAAGGUAUUCGUAGGUGAACCUGCAGAAGGAUCA
RNAcentral lists this ribosomal RNA (172 nucleotides) under uncultured eukaryote. RNAcentral describes it as "partial small subunit ribosomal RNA". It matches the Rfam family "Eukaryotic small subunit ribosomal RNA", at positions 1662 to 1828 of the family's 1831-position model. The record is from RNAcentral.